UGGGAACCUUCCCUAUGGUUCGGAAUAGCUCAGGGAAACUUGGGGUAAUACCGAAUAAGCCCUUCGGGGGAAAGAUUUAUCGCCAUUGGAUGGGCCCGCGUCGGAUUAGCUAGUUGGUGGGGUAACGGCCUACCAAGGCGACGAUCCGUAGCUGGUCUGAGAGGAUGAUCAGCCACACUGGGACUGAGACACGGCCCAGACUCCUACGGGAGGCAG
This 216-nucleotide ribosomal RNA is filed under the name uncultured bacterium. RNAcentral's name for it is "partial 16S ribosomal RNA". It matches the Rfam family "Bacterial small subunit ribosomal RNA", at positions 118 to 351 of the family's 1533-position model. The record is from RNAcentral.